This is a long non-coding RNA of Brassica napus (rape), 1854 nucleotides long. RefSeq lists it as uncharacterized. The record is from RefSeq and is a predicted model, not a curated record. NCBI's taxonomy places the organism in Eukaryota, Viridiplantae, Streptophyta, Magnoliopsida, Brassicales, Brassicaceae. The transcript has 3 exons.
UAAUCCCACUAUAUAAAAGAAGCUAAAUUUGAGCUUCCUAAAGCUAUCCACGUGUGCACAAAUAUUCAGGACCAACCAAAGUGCCAGGUCAUCUUUGUGGGCUUGCAAUUUUAAAAAAAAUUGUCACCUACGUGGCCCGUAUGACCCAUCUCUCCCGAGCCUCUCUUCAUACCGUAUUGGUCGCAGCCCAUUACCCAUCUCUUGAUACGGUUCGGGUUACAUCGCUGUCCUCUCUGAAAUAUCAAAAUCACUAACCCUAAUCACCGUUCUCGAUCUCUUUGUCGAUUCUCUUCCUCCCCCAAACUCAUCCCGAUCUCUUUGUCGAUUCUCUUUCUCUCCCCAAAUUUUGAUUUUCUUUAGCGACCAAGGUACUUCAAUGUGCUCUCAUAAAGCCUUCAAUGUUUUCUUCAACCAUGCUGUUGCCUGUUGGUGAUGUUUUCAAUUUAAUAUGUGGAGAGGAUGAGAUCGACUUGGGGAGAGAAGGUUAUUGUUUGGAAUUGAAACCCGAAAAUGGAUUUCACAAUCGUAAGCUCUCACUUCUUUGGGCUCACUUCGUCUUCUUAAAGAGGCUUUAUCGGCUGCGUUGAGGCUGUAUCGUCCGGUGCCAGAGUUCUUCAACCCCGGCUUGAAGGGCGACAAGAUACGACAUGGGACUUUUGUUCCGCAGUGAUGUUUUUGAUUUACUUGGCUGGGAGGAUGAGAACGACUCUGGGAGAUUUUGUUUCGAGUUCAAACCGGAAAGAUUGACUUUGAAAUCGUACGCUCUUAGUAUACAUAAUUAUGGGCCAAUACACACAGAUUACGAUACAAACACAAACACGAAGCUCAGCAUUAGAGUUUCAGCCCCGGAGAUUCAACAGCAACUAAAGUUGUUACUUGGCUUUCUAUUUCCUGAAGCACAGAACGUAGUAUAUAAAAGGAAACAGGAAUACACUUUGCAAAUAUUCUCUGUGUCUUUGGAUUAAUCUAUAAUCUUGUGAUGUAGAUAGAUACAAAAGCUUCUUACGGAUCUCCAUGGAGAAUUCAUGAAGGUAACCUGAAACAACUCUCUAUCUCUUGCAAGUGGAUGCCAGACUAAUGUCAUAGUUUGGUAAAAUUCCAGAUUAAGUUUUGGUGAAUGACGUUGUGUUUUGUACAGAAGAUAAGAACUCAUGUUCGUUAUGGGAAGCAGUUAUCACAAUACAACCUUGCUUAUCGAAUUUUCAUCAAGUAAUAUUACAUGAUUUAUAAUUAGUUGUGUAUUUUAUGACUUUUUAUAAGUGUGGUUGACGAUAAAAAUGACAAGCUAUCACAAAAGAUGCCUCAAGUUCUGGUAUUUUAGAUAUGAGACUCUCUGGACCUUUAAUAUGUGAUAAUGUAUCGAAGUUUUAAGUCUUCUUCCGACAAUACUCUAAUUCGAUUUUGUCGUGUAUCGAUACAUUUCCUGAAGGGCUUACUCGGAAGCUUCCAGUUACCAACAAGUAUGUGAAGCCAAUAUGUAUAGGAUUUGGAGAGGCGGAGGACCACGACCUUGAAAAUCUGAAGAAACAGCUCGAAGAUGAUGAUCUCAUCAGAGGUACAAUAACUGCGGAACAUCAAGGCAGUGAAGGUACACAUAUGAAUCCGGCUCCUGUGUUUAGAAUCAAGAAACAAAGUUCCUUCGCGUCAAAGGCUUGUGUGCGAGUCUCUUCAGUGCUCUCUUUGGCUUUCUUAUGUUCGAUUCACACAAGUAUUGGUCUUCCACAACAAAGACUCAUCCACAUUAUUACAUGUUCUGCUAUAAACCUUUUCUUUUACCUCUAGGCUCAUUGUCAAUACCAAAAUACAGCUGCGUUUUGACCUUGAUUAGGUGUGAUUGUGACUCUCUUUCACUUC